CACCAACUUCAUUCCAAUGCCCGGGAUCACUCGAGAACUGCAGUCACUAUCUUGUUCAGCUCCCAGGAUCAAGCGAACCUGCUGUAGGGCCCAUUGCGGUGAUUUCGUUGGCUUCUGUUAGAAGUGUGGGUUUUCUAGUAAUUCAAGGCAGGCAUCCAUAUACAGGAGCAGUGCGCUUGUCUUGUGCCUUUCCCCUUGCCGCACAACAUCCAUGCUGCUCCCGUAUGUGCACAGAUGAGUUCGUCCCAUGUUCCUGACCUCUCGCGGUGGAGACUGGGAGUCAGUGUUUGCGUCGAUUAGAGCCGAGCUUUUCAGUUCUCACGUGCACAACGCUGCUGGAGUCUUCUUCUCAUGUGUUGGAGCUGUUUCUAGUAAAAAGCACCACAUAAUCUGCCGAUGGAACUCCUCAUGUGCUCUUCGACUGUCUUGAGUGCUCAAGUUUGUGCUUUUUUAAAGGAUCUGUGCUAGUACUGUUGGAUGGACAUCGACUUUGCCGGUAAGUGCACCCGACAUACCACGUUUGACAGGCGUAAGUGGGUGACAACGAGAGAGAGCACGCCGGAAUGCGUUCAUGCAGCGAGUGCCUGGAGGUGUUCGAGCGUGCCCUCUCCCGUCGUCACCAAUCUUUUUCUCUGACUCUGGUUUGUGUAACAUUGUUCGUUAUACGAUUCCCUUCUGGGUGGUAGCAGAAAAACUUGGAUGGAAUUUGGGACCAAUAUAUUAAUUUGUUCGAUGCGUCUGUGUACUUUGGUAUGCUAGAUGAUUGGCUUCUGAAACCAACUAACAUGAUUUGUACAUUUCUUAAGCAAACUCACAUGCGAAGCGUUUACGAAUCCUAUUCGUCAGCGGAGAACCGCAAUCAUCUAUCCUAAUUCCUUUAGAAUUUUUGAGACUGAUCUGCAAAAUGUUGUCCCAUAGGUCGAAAUAGUCUUUCGAGCCUCGCAGGCAAGUAAUCCAGCAUGUACAGGUGGAGCUAACAGUGGACUUGUGGAAUCGUUACUCGUAUGUUCAAAGAAGUUGUGGUUGAGCUUGUCCAAAAGCCGAUGCUUCAGGCAUACUAGUCAUUGAGGAGAAAUAAUCCUUUCGACCCAGCACUAGAUCGUUUGAGUCAAAAGCGAGUCUCUGUAGUUUUUUUAAUUAAGUUUAUUACUACUGGGGCUGAUGUAGGCAAUGGUAACAAUCAGUGAUGUGCAACAUCGGUAACCAACGGCAAUAGAAGGAUAUGUGGGUAAAGAUCACUAGUUGCAGACGUAGAUUAAAGACGCAGCAAAGAACAUGAUCUCGAUUCGUCAUCAAUUAUGUUACUUUCAGAUGUCUGAUCGUUCACCUUGAAAGAGCCGAAUUUGACAUAAUAAGCGAAACUCGCAGAUAUUUGGUUUUUUCAUUGUAACUAAGUGCAGUGCUCAAUAGGUGCACACAUCUAUUUCUGAAAUCAAAUUCACUUUCAAUACAAAUCUCCACAUUUAAUACACCAGUGUUUAAUAAUCAAGUGUGUGUGAAGCAAAUUUAUAAUGCAUGAUCCAUCCAUGCAUCAACAUUUCUUGCUUAGAUUGAAAGAAAAACCAUACUCGUACACUAAUGCAGGAUUAGCAACGUGAGCUGAGAGCAUUGUGCAUUCGGAAAGGAAGUUAUGAGCUCCUUCAGUAAGACUUUCGAAACCGACGACCGUCAAGAACCUGAAAGCAUCGUCUGUAGAAAAGAAUUCUUUCGGGACCAAAACCGAUAAACUAGUAUUAUUCCUCUUAUGGUUGUGAUUACAAAUCGUUCAUAAGCGAUAGAGUUGCUACUGUAAAGAAGUUUUUUCGACUUCUCAGCAAUGUUAACAUAUAUAUUCCCUGACUGCCUGCAAACAACCACAUAUUCAAUGCAAAUGAAAUGCAGCGCAGUGUACGAAAUUCUGACAGCUCAGUAAUAAAUAAACCAGGGGCUCAUGAUUGUAACCUGUAAAUCUGCGCUUGGCUAGACAAGCCCAAGUCAUGGGACCCACAGGCUUGUACCACAAUGUCAAUAGUACACUACUGGGACUGUCUGGUAGCGUUCACGCAAGUAGUCAAGCAGCAUGCCAAUUGGUGCACUUACCCAGAAGGAGCAAAGGCACGAAGCUAGAUUCACUAUAUAUUUCGUGAGGGCCAGGACAAUCGCGGUACUAUAUGGAGUGUCGAGCCCACGCAGUGGCAGUGAACUGGGAAGCUCAAUUAAUGCAGCCUGCACUUCAAGUUUACCUGCUGCUCUCUCCAGAGUCAUGUGUUGCGUGUUUGGUUUACCCAUGUUUUCUAAAAUCCUAGCAGGAGACUCUUGCAGAUGAGGGAGUCUGCUCCUCCAAAAUCUCCGAUGUUUAAAAGAGGUGUGUCGGAUGUUCAAGCGGCCCACGCAGAAGUCUGAGCACACACGUCAUCUCUGAUUUGCGAAGCCGAGACCAUAAAUUCGACAAUGUUGCAAAAUCAACAGCAGCACGUUAACUUAUAGCAUGUCAUGAAUCUACUUACGAGUAUACAUAUCACUGCAACCGACGGCAAAAGCUCUGAAUAAAAGCUCCCAUUAAAAUUAGAUUUUACGUGUUGGUUUGUAACUAGAAUUGCAGGUAUACAGCUAAGAUUCUGCAUAUCAACAGCUACCUUUAGAGUUGCUAUAUUGGUUUACGAUUUUACACACAAAGAAUCAGCUAGACUUGAAUUGCUGUAUCAACUAAGUUAAUGAAGUUGACCUCGAGCUUCAGAAUGCUCCUGAGCUUGGGUGUUGCGUCUGCU
Molecule: non-coding RNA, 2747 nt
Organism: Physcomitrium patens
Lineage: Eukaryota; Viridiplantae; Streptophyta; Bryopsida; Funariales; Funariaceae
Source: RefSeq, a predicted model, not a curated record